GUGCUUACUUCAGCAGCACAUGUGCUAAAAUUGAAAUGAUAGAGGAAAGAUUAGCAUGGUCCAUGUAAAGGGAUGACAUGCAAAUCCAUGAAGUGUUCCAUAUUAAA
Molecule: small nuclear RNA, 107 nt
Organism: Neogale vison (American mink)
Lineage: Eukaryota; Metazoa; Chordata; Mammalia; Carnivora; Mustelidae
Source: RefSeq, a predicted model, not a curated record